CAACUCUUGGCAAUGGAUCUCUUGGUUCUGGCAUCGAUGAAGAGGGUAGCAAGGUGCGAUAAUUAUUGCGACUGGCAUUCAUAGGGAUUCAUCGAGUUUUCGAACGCUUCUUGCGCUUAGUAGUCAAUUUACUAGGCCCAGUUGUUUCAGUAUCUGCA
Molecule: ribosomal RNA, 158 nt
Filed under: Lichtheimia ramosa
Lineage: Eukaryota; Fungi; Mucoromycota; Mucoromycetes; Mucorales; Lichtheimiaceae
Description: 5.8S ribosomal RNA
Rfam family: 5.8S ribosomal RNA
About the family: 5.8S ribosomal RNA (5.8S rRNA) is a component of the large subunit of the eukaryotic ribosome. It is transcribed by RNA polymerase I as part of the 45S precursor that also contains 18S and 28S rRNA. Functionally, it is thought that 5.8S rRNA may be involved in ribosome translocation.
Source: RNAcentral